Molecule: ribosomal RNA, 489 nt
Filed under: uncultured bacterium
Lineage: Bacteria
Description: partial 16S ribosomal RNA
Rfam family: Bacterial small subunit ribosomal RNA
Source: RNAcentral
GAUGAACGCUAGCGAUAGGCUUAACACAUGCAAGUCGAGGGGCAGCAUGGUCUUAGCUUGCUAAGACUGAUGGCGACCGGCGCACGGGUGCGUAACGCGUAUGCAACUUGCCUCACAGAGGGGGAUAACCCGUCGAAAGACGGACUAAUACCGCGUACACUUGGGAUAGGGCAUCCUGACCCAAGGAAAUGAAAUUCGCUGUGAGAUAGGCAUGCGUCCCAUUAGCUAGUUGGUGAGGUAACGGCUCACCAAGGCGACGAUGGGUAGGGGAACUGAGAGGUUGAACCCCCACGCGGGAACGAGGACACGGACCGGACUCCGACGGGGGGCAGAAGUGGGGAAAAUUGGGAAAUGGGCGAGAGCCUAAACCAGCCAAGUCGCGGGAAGGAUUACUGUCUUAUGGAUUGUAAACUUUUUUUAUACGGGAAUAACAAGAGCCACGUGGGGCCCCCUGCAUGUACCGUAUGAAGAAGCAGCGGCUAACUCCGU